GAUGAACGCUAGCUACAGGCUUAACACAUGCAAGUCGAGGGGUAACAAGAGAAAAGCUUGCUUUUCUUGUUGACGACCGGCGCACGGGUGAGUAACGCGUAUCCAACCUGCCUAUAACUAGGGAAUAACCUUGCGAAAGUAAGACUAAUACCCUAUGAUUUCCUUUGAUGACAUCAGAUUAGGAAUAAAGAUUUAUCGGUUAUAGAUGAGGAUGAGUCUGAUUAGCUUGUUGGCGGGGUAACGGCCCACCAAGGCAACGAUCAGGAGGGGUUCUGAGAGGAAGGUCCCCCACAUUGGAACUGAGACACGGUCCAAACUCCUACGGGAGGCAGCAGUGAGGAAUAUUGGUCAAUGGGCGGAAGCCUGAACCAGCCAAGUAGCGUGCAGGAUGACGGCCCUAUGGGUUGUAAACUGCUUUUAUACAGGAAUAAAGUUAGCCACGUGUGGUUAUUUGUAGGUACUGUAUGAAUAAGGACCGGCUAAUUCCGUGCCAGCAGCCGCCGUAA
Molecule: ribosomal RNA, 506 nt
Filed under: uncultured bacterium
Lineage: Bacteria
Description: partial 16S ribosomal RNA
Rfam family: Bacterial small subunit ribosomal RNA
Source: RNAcentral